Molecule: long non-coding RNA, 1633 nt
Organism: Mus musculus (house mouse)
Lineage: Eukaryota; Metazoa; Chordata; Mammalia; Rodentia; Muridae
Product: predicted gene, 40830
Exons: 1
Source: RefSeq, marked validated
GUGGAAGGCGAAAGCUGAUGGACAGACUCACAGCAUUCCUGCGCACCUGCUGGAUCCAGAUGCUGAUCUCUAGAUCAGGUACAAGACGCAGAGCCCGCCUGCCUCCGCAGUCUGGAAAUUACCAAGGUCGCUUCCCUGCUCCCUGAAUUUCCCUCCUGAGCCACAGUCAUCUUACCUGAAAAGCCAAUUCUGUAUCGCAGAGCUUCCUGAUCUGGCGCUCUUUAAGGAAACCUGAGGAUCGCCAUUCCUCUUUUGUGCAGCGCGCACAAAGGACGGAGUCCUGUGCACACCAGUAGCUUCUCCUGUCUGACCUUCUUCAGAGGAUCAUUUCAGAGAGUGUGUCUCUGUGACACACAUCUGCUUCCUUUUAUUUCUGGAGACCCUAAUUAUAGACGUUAAAUUUGCUAGCUGGGUGUGGCAGCUCAUGCUUGUAAAUCCAGGCUCAAGCAGAAGCACCAGUAGGAAAGGCAGGGCGAGUUUGUUUGUUUGCUUGCUUGCUUUGCUUUGCUUUGCUUUGCUUUGCUUUGCUUUGCUUUGCUUUGCUUUGCUUUGCUUUGCUUUGCUUUGCUUUGCUUUGCUUUGCUCCUCAGGUAAAUUGUAUAUCUGCCACAGCAGCUCUUCUUGUAUUUUUUUUUCCUUGCAUGAUUCUUGUGACACCUCAUAAUUGUCAGGGACAGGAAUAGUCUGCCCACUCCUAACCCCUGACAUAUGAGAUACAGGACCAAGAGUCAACAGAUGUGACCAACUUUCUUCAUGCAGCCACAAUGACGAAAAUAAAAAGGAGCUACGUCUACAGGUGACACUUACUGCAUUGCCAUUUAGGCAUUUUAAUAUGUGUUGUUUGAAUAUUUUACAUAAUUUUAAAAUCGUUGGUGUUACUUUAGGGUUUUGCAACAGGAUUCUAUGGAAUCCAGGCUGGCCUCCAACUUAAUGGCCUUGAACUGCUUGCUGAUCCUCCUGUCUCUGAUGGAGUAGGGGGAGAUGGACAGAGGCCUCUUUGUAUUGUAGAACGGAGUCUGCACCUGCAUGUUAUUACUAGCCUCUAUGCACUGUUCCAUGUUCACUCUCCGGCCCAGGUGGCACCUGGAGGAGUGGGUGUUAACAACAGACACUAACUACACUCAGCAUUCUGAGGAGCGCUUGAGCCCAGGAUUCCAGAGAAUGAGGGAAAUAUGCACGGGAUUAUAACAACGAAGACUCGAAGACUCGGGCAAUCACAAGUCUCAACACUUUGGUGAUCACCAAACAACGAGGUAUAUUUUAUCUAACUUAGAAUAAUCAAGAACAGGGCUGGAGAGAUGGCUCUUGCUAUGAGUUCAAUCCUUGGGAACCACCCAACACCCAGGGCUGUCUUCUGAUUUCCACAUGUAUGCCAUGGUACACACAUAUGAGUAAAUAAAUGUAAAAAAAAAUGAAUAAGUUUCAGGAACUGGAAAGAUUAGUUGGCGGUAAAGAGUACUGGCUGCUCUUCUAGAGGACCUAAGUUCAAUUCUCAGCACACACAUGGCCUCUUACAAACAGCUAUAGCUGUAGUGCUAUGGAAUCAGAUGCUGCCUUCUGGUUUGCAGAUGUACAUGCAGACAAAACACCUAUAUACAUAAAACACACAAAUAAAUCUUUCUUUAAAAAUAAA